CAAUAGCGUAUAUUAAAGUUGUUGCAGUUAAAAAGCUCGUAGUUGGACCUUGGACCUGGACAGGCGGUCCGCCUCACGGCGUGUACUGUCUUGCUGGGUUUUUCCUCUUGGUGAUCUGUUGUUUCGGCAGCAGGGAACCAGGACUUUUACUUUGAAAAAAUUAGAGUGUUCAAAGCAGGCUCGACGCCGGAAUAUAUUAGCAUGGAAUAAUAAAAUAGGACGUGCGGUUCUAUUUUGUUGGUUUUUGGAAUCGCCGUAAUGAUUAAUAGGGACAGUCGGGGGCAUUAGUACUCACAUGCUAGAGGUGAAAUUCUUGGAUUUUGUGAAGACUAACUUCUGCGAAAGCAUUUGCCAAGGAUGUUUUCAUUAA
This 370-nucleotide ribosomal RNA is filed under the name uncultured eukaryote. RNAcentral describes it as "partial 18S ribosomal RNA". It matches the Rfam family "Eukaryotic small subunit ribosomal RNA", at positions 592 to 976 of the family's 1831-position model. The record is from RNAcentral.